Molecule: transfer RNA, 85 nt
Filed under: Crocuta crocuta (spotted hyena)
Lineage: Eukaryota; Metazoa; Chordata; Mammalia; Carnivora; Hyaenidae
Also listed under: 4 other names
Rfam family: tRNA
About the family: Transfer RNA (tRNA) molecules are approximately 80 nucleotides in length. Their secondary structure includes four short double-helical elements and three loops (D, anti-codon, and T loops). Further hydrogen bonds mediate the characteristic L-shaped molecular structure. tRNAs have two regions of fundamental functional importance: the anti-codon, which is responsible for specific mRNA codon recognition, and the 3' end, to which the tRNAs corresponding amino acid is attached (by aminoacyl-tRNA synthetases). tRNAs cope with the degeneracy of the genetic code in two manners: having more than one tRNA (with a specific anti-codon) for a particular amino acid; and 'wobble' base-pairing, i.e. permitting non-standard base-pairing at the 3rd anti-codon position.
Source: Rfam by way of RNAcentral
GCCUGGGUGGCUCAGUCGGUUAAGCGUCUGACUUCGGCUCAGGUCAUGAUCUCACGGUUCGUGGGUUCGAGCCCCACGUCGGGCU